CUCAACCACAACAGGAAUGAGAAGCUAGGACGUCGACUGGCUGAAUGGAUGAGGGCAAGGCAGGUGUGUUGUGUGGACAAGGCAUGACGAGGAGGACCCACUGAUGUCAGUGAAUGUGGAAGAGAAGAGACUAUCCAGGAGUUGCCAAUCCAAAGUGAUACCAUCAAGAUCAAGAUCAAGAUAGCUGCUUAUGACACGCGCCCAUAUCCAAAAUGGCUGCUUUACAACUUCUCCAGUUCCCAAAUUAUUUAUCCAGAAAGGAUAUAAUAAAUGAAAUUAGGGUUAAUCUGGAUUAUCAUAUCCAUGUUACAAGCAUGAAACUCACAUGACAUGGAGAAGGGUUGGGUGACUGCUGUAAACGUACGUCUAAUAUGGCUAGUAGCACUCGAGAGUGUGGAGAAAUUUGAUAUUUUCUAAGUCUAGUGAGCUCUGCAACAGUCAAGAGUAAAUAUUGAAAUUAUUUUCUUUUGUUUAUAACAGGUUUGUGAGUAGCGGCAUAUUAGGUUUUCAUGGUAUUUAUGCAGUUAUUCCCUCCAAUCGCGCUGCCACUCGUGAGGCCAUUCCUGAGGCCACCAAUCACGACUUUCCACGAGCUGCCUGUCUCCAGGUGAUUCUUGCCACCAUGUCUGUACCUCCCCACACCUGAGACUGACUGCUGCUGCUGCUGCUGGUGGUGCUGGUGCUGGCCACUCAUGCUGCUGCUCAAUCUCACAGCCUCCACUGCAUCCCACCAGCACAUGCCAUGGCCAAUCCUGCAGGGACCUUCGGGGAAGUCGGACACAAUAAGACUGGUUGGCAGAGAGCAGGGUGUGCAGCCUGGACUCUACCUGGGCACCUGGAACAACAGUGACAGUCAGCACACACUGAGCCUAGCACUGCCUAACACACUGCCCUUGCCUGCAGCACACAACACUCCCAGCUUCCUUCCCCUACCAUGCAACACUGGGCCAGGCCUGCACUCCUCCUAUCCUCCUGGCUCCCCAACCACUUUCCCUGAUAAAUUAAAUGCCAUCCCAAUGGGACAGUGGCCCCCAUCAGGUUAGGUUUGGUAUAUUAACACCUAAGAGUGCUGUGGUGGGAGACCAGUGCAACACUCCAUUGCCAGUGAUCAGAGUACAUCAUUGUGAAUGGACACACUUUAUAUUUCUGCCCGGAACCAUGCCAAGUCUGUUCUCCAACUAGCCAAAAACUCCUUCAUUAACAGAAAAUGUCAAAACCUUUCAAGAUCUAACUCCCCUUGUGAUUUCUGGCAUCUAGCCAAAAAUAUCUCCAAUAACUUUGCUUCUUCUUCUUUCCCUCCUCUAUUUCAACCAGAUGGCAUCACUGCUAUCACAUCUAUUUCUAAAGCUGAACUCUUCGCUCAAACCUUUGCUAAAAACUCUACCUUGGACGAUUCUGGGCUUGUUCCUCCCUCUCCUCCACCCUCUGACUACUUCAUGCCUCGUAUUAAAAUUCUUCGCAAUGAUGUUUUCCAUGCCCUUGCUGGCCUAAACCCUCGGAAGGCUUAUGGUCCUGAUGAGGUCCCUCCUAUUGUUCUCCGGAACUGUGCCUCUGUGCUUGCACCUUGCCUAGUCAAACUCUUUCAGCUCUGUCUGUCAACAUCUACCUUUCCUUCUUGCUGGAAGUUUGCCUACAUUCAACCUGUUCCUAAAAAGGGUGACCGUUCUAAUCCCUCAAACUAACGUCCUAUUGCUUUAAUUUCCUGCUUAUCUAAAGUUUUUGAAUCUAUCCUCAACAGGAAGAUUCUUAAACAUCUAUCACUUCACAACCUUCUAUCUGAUCGCCAGUAUGGGUUCUGUCAAGGCCGCUCUACUGGUGAUCUUCUGGCUUUCCUUACUGAGUCUUGGUCAUCCUCUUAGAGAUUUUGGUGAAACUUUUGCUGUUGCCUUGGACAUAUCAAAAGCUUUUGAUAGAGUCUGGCACAAAGCUUUGAUAUCCAAACUACCCUCCUACGGUUUCUAUCCUUCUCUCUGUAACUUCAUCUCAAGUUUCCUUUCUGACCGUUCUAUUGCUGCUGUGGUAGACGGUCACUGUUCUUCUCCUAAAUCUAUUAACAGUGGUGUUCCUCAGGGUUCUGUCCUGUCACCCACUCUCUUCUUAUUAUUUAUUAAUGAUCUUCUAAACCAAACUUCUUGUCCUAUCCACUCCUACGCUGAUGAUACCACCAUGCACUUUUCCAUGUCUUUUCAUAGACGUCCAACCCUUCAGGGGGUAAACAUAUCACGCAGGGAAGCCACAGAACGCUUGACUUCUGAUCUUUCUAAAAUUUCUGAUUGGGGCAGAGCAAACUUGGUAUUGUUCAAUGCCUCAAAAACUCAAUUCCUCCAUCUAUCAACUCGACACAACCUUCCAGACAACUAUCCCCUCUUCUUCAAUGACACUCAACUGUCCCCCUCUUCUACACUGAACAUCCUCAGUCUGUCCUUUACUUAUAAUCUGAACUGGAAACUUCACAUCUCAUCUCUAGCUAAAACAGCUUCUAUGAAGUUAGGUGUUCUGAGAUGUCUCCGGCAGUUUUUCUCAUCCCCCCAGCCGCUAACUCUGUACAGGGGCCUUAUCCGUCCAUGUAUGGAGUAUGUUUCACAUGUCUGGGGAGGUUCCACUCAUACUGCUCUUCUAGACAGGGUGGAAUCAAAAGCUUUUCGUCUCAUCAACUCCUCUCCUCUAACUGACUGUCUUCACCCUCUCUCUCACCUCCGCAAUGUUGCAUAUCUAGCUGUCUUCUACCGCUAUUUUCAUGCUAACUGCUCUUCUGAUCUUGCUAACUGCAUGCCUCCCCUCCUUCCGCGGCCUCGCUGCACAAGACUUUCUUCUUUCUCUCAUCCCUAUUCUGUCCACCUCUCUAAUGCAAGAGUUAACCAGUAUUCUCAAUCAUUCAUCCCUUUCUCUGGUAAACUCUGGAACUCCCUGCCUGCUUCUGUAUUUCCACCUUCCUAUGACUUGAAUUCCUUCAAGAGGGAGGUUUCAAGACAUUUAUCCACCAAUUUUUGACCACUGCUUUGACCCUUUUAUGGGACUGGCAUUUCAGUGGGCAUUUUUUUAAUUAGAUUUUUGUUGCCCUUGGCCAGUGUCCUUCCUACAUAAAAAAAAAAAAGACAGGUAUUAUUGGGUGUGUGUCUGUAAGGAUGCAACAUUUUAUUUUUAUGCUUGAUUUUGGCAUGUUUUUUGUCAUUGUAAAUCAGUAUCCAAGGAGGUUGGAGGUGGGGUUAAAAAAAAAAAAUGGUUAACAGAUUAAAUAAGAACACACCAAAAUGAAAGUAAACAAAUAAAUAAUGUGUCUGCUGUUGUGAGAUGGGUAGUUUUAAUACUUACCAAGGAAUAUAUGAGACUUUUAGUCUAGAAUCCUUAGAUCAGACUGUUCUGUGCUGGGGAAGACCCUGCUGGCAUGCUGGGGCAUCUGGGAGCAGGUCUUGUGCUGGCACCCACCCAGGAGAUCUGCUGGUGCCAGUCUGUAGAGAUGGAGUGAUGCUGGUGAGUGGAGACCAGUACCUGAAUAACCACUUGAAAAGAGUGAAAUAAGAUGCAGUAAGUAAGCAGAUGUGCUACCUCUACUGCCAGGCGGGGGUUACUUCAUCUUAGACUAAGUCACUGUGCACUCUGAGUUACCUCUUUGGUCACUCUUCUGCUUUCCUUCAUGCCUUUCCUUGCUUUACUUUCUUUGUGGCACUCAAUCACCAGUGUUUUCUUGAGCCUGGCCAAGAUCACUGUGUCUGCAGGUACCUGUGGCCUUGGUGCCCUAGUGGCUCAGGAAGACUCCCAAACUGGUGUACUGAUACACACUGGGUUUGGUAUAUAUAUUCUUCCGUUAAUAUAAAGAUAAAUAAUGUGUGGUAUAGUGAUAUAAACUGUAUGCACUCUGAUUAAAGUAAAGAUAAAAUUUAUCAUUAUUUUAACCCAGAGUGCAUACCAAACCCAGUAUAUAUUACACCAUAUAUUAUUUAUCUUUAUUGUAACCAAAGAAUGUAGUGCUGGAAAAAUAAUUAUGUAUAUUUCUACUUUUUUUUUAGGCUAAGGCCCAUGUAAUGUGCGGGGAUGACCAGAGUCUCAGUACCAUGUGACUAACCCCUCCCCCCCUUCCCCUCCUCUCCUCAGUGUCCUUUUGUCCUUGCUUUUUCCCCCCCCCUCUCAGCGUCACUGUGUUGACCACUUCUAUCAUAAAUUUUCCCCGUGAAUAAACGUAAUUUCUCUUGCUUGGCCAGGUUAUAGAGGCGAAUUUUUCACCUAAUCCCAGAGAAUGGGGAGCCCUUAAUACGAUAAAAUUAAUUCUAUAAUGGUAAGGUCUUGAGCCAGCUCAAACAAAUCCCAGAUAAUUACGCCGCGCCAAUGAGGUUGACGAAUCUAAUAAGUCUUCUUUGCUUCGCCGUCCUCUUACCCCCUGUUGCUACGCAAGCCAGGAAGAGAUACCAGACUUUGACUAAUUCCUCAAUUGAUUUCAAAAGUCCAUUGAAUUAAACUUCUUAAAGUCACAACUAUAAAGUAAACAGUAACUUAAUUAUUCAUAUUUUUCAUCCCUGAACUCACAACCUAGUCGCCCCCCCCCACUAAAAACAAAAUUAUAACUCUUAAUAAAUUUCCCCAUUGGAAACCUUUAUCCUUAGUUUUCCCGCCGAUUUUCUCACAAGCAAAGCCAGAUUCUCUUGGAUUCUCCUCAGGUGAGCAUGCAGUCUGAUAAUCUCCUCCUCCAUUUCCUGUAAUAUUAAGUAAGUGUUUGUUUAACAAUAAUUUUACUAAAGAGAUUCUCUUGGAUUCUCCUCAGACCCUCCCGGAUUCUCCUCAGAUAUUCCUGUUGAUAAACUAUUUCUGAGUGGAUAGAUAUUCGCAUUUUUUCGUUCUUUUUUUGUUGGUUUUCUCCGCGUGACUAGUGAAACCACCUGGUUCGAGAUCACCGUGUGAGACUAUCCUCAGGUCUAUACAUACUUUUUGGUUAUAUUUGUUAUUUAUUUAUUUAUUCUCUGGUCUCCCCCGUAAUUCAGUAGUCGCGAAAAUAUCUCGAUCGUAGUUUUUAUGUAACUGAAGAGUACGCUACCAUUUAUUUUGUAUUUCUGAAUUCCUUUCUUAUUAUUAUUAUUUUUCGGAUUAUUCCAUUAUCAAUUAAAAAUCUAUAAAAGUGUCAAUAUUUGUAUUUCUUUUAAUCUAGUGAUAGAAUCUGAAUCAUCGUCUGCCACAAGGGAAUUUUAUUUAUUUUUUUUUUCGUGGGUACUAAACUGGUGAGCAGCGGUGGCAUUUAUUUCGCGACUGACUGAAAGAGGUGGAGACUGGAAAUAAGUGUAAAUGUUGAAGGUGGCACUUGUAGGGCAUAGCCAGAUUCCCCGGCAUCUAGAGGUAACAAAUGUGCAAAUUAGGAUAUUCAGAGCCCCUGGAGCAAAGGCUAGGACUUUCUUUGAGGAUGAUCGGUUAAAUCGAGUACUCGAGUGGCAACAUGACUUGACCAUCUUGUGGAUAGGCAGCAAUGAUAUAGAAACAUCUACCAAUCCCGCUAGGAUUUUCUCCGAUGUUAAGAACAUCAUCAAAGAAAUCACUGCCAAAUGCCAAUCACUAGUGCAUGUCUGCCAAAUUGAACCCAGGACCAACCCUAGGGGAAUAUCAGUGGAGAAAUAUAAGAAAUUCCAAGUAGGAAUCAAUAAUAGAGUAAAGAGAGCCCUGAAGACCCCAAACAUUCAUUUUAAUAAUAUUCAAUUUGUACAAGAACUGAGCGAGGAUGGUGUUCACUGGGACGAGAGAGGCCAAGCUCAAGUAAUCAGUAAGAUCAAAAGAGUUAUUGAAGGUCACAGUAGCAAUAGAGAGGCAGUGGAGUAGAACACAAUGUCCUGGAAGAAGAAAACCUGAGCGCAUACUGUGUAUCGCAGGUCACCUAACAAUCACCCUGAGAGAUUGUGUUCUACACCCAGUACGUUAAACUUCCAUGUGAGCAAAGAUGACUGAUAAUGUUCGCCUCCCAAGGGGUGGAUUAGACCCGUGGCAGGACUUAAUGGAUCAUAACACCAGAGAGAGCCUGGGAGCAGUUAAACAUGAAAGUAAAGGGAAAGACUUGAACACUUUAGAACAGGAAGUAGAGGAACUAAAACAAAUCUUAAAUCAACAAAAUCAGGUAAUUGGGCGCUUGGCUAACAUCCCUAAUUUACACAGAGCACCUAGCACUCCCACCAAACCCCGAGAUAUCCCAAUUCUUGAACUCCACCACCUACAAGGUCUUGACUCAACUACCCAAUUGCAAAUUUUCAUUGAACUGGUGGAGCAAAGUAGCAAUGAGGACACCCGCAAAGUGCAAAUUGCAAAGAGUAGGGUCAGCAGCGAGCUCGCAGCUCUCAUACAUAACCAUCAAACCUUACAUCAUUGUCACACCUGGAAUAGUAUUAAACAAUUGCUUCUAUCACAAUUCUCCCAAGAGGUUAACUUUGACAGGGCGUGGAGAGACAUAGACGCACAGACAUAUGAUUGGGUAGAAUCUCCCCAAGCAUUUGCCAACAAAUUCACUUGCAAAUAUGCCACUCUAGAGACUAGCUUUCCAGGAGAGAAACUCCCUAAAUGUAAGAAAAUUAUCAAAAGAAAGUUGUGGCAGGGCUUAACCCAAGAAGCAAAGGCUAGACUAGAAGGUUUCCUGGAUGAGGAUUAUCCUCUUGAUAAAUUUAUUGAUAGGGUAGAACAUGAGCGCCAACUGCUCGAGGCUGCCCAUACUUCCCCCAUUGCUAGAAUUAAACCUGAACUGGGAAAAUCUAAAUCAAAACUCAUUGGUAGCCCUGACCCAAUGACUCAAAAUCCCCCAGACCUAACAAAUGCAACAUCCAAGGAAUCAAAGGAAAUUUGGGAACUUAAGCAGCAGAUUAAAAGUCUCACUGAUCAAGUAGGAAGGUUGAGAACCUCCCCCUCUCCAACACAACCCGCUAAAUAUUGCUCACACUGUCGAACCCAUAGUCACACGCUGAGGGAGUGCUGGAGAAAACCUGCCCGUGGAUCAUGCUUUGACUGUAGACAGCAUGGGUGCUGGAGAGGAAAUAAAAACUGCCCCGGAAAACCAAAUCAGAAUAUAUGACUCACCCAGGGAUUCACAUCCCCCACUAUCAAUCUCAUAGUUAACAAGAAAAUUCUUAAAGCUGUCAUUGACACUGGUAGCGGCUAUACUUUAAUCACAGAGGCUGCGGUAGAGAAAUUAGAAGGAGCUAUAUCACAAAGGCGAGCAGUACCUAUACUACAAGGGGUAACUGGUUCACCCUUACGAAUCUUGGGGAUGACCUUACUAGAGAUAGGAGUAGGUGAAGAGACUAUACACAAACAAUGGUGCCCUGUAGUCCCGAAUAGCUACCUUGACGCUGACGUCUUACUCGGGACAGACAUACUUUCACAAGCUCCUUUUCAAUGGAAUGGUAAGACAAAUACAGUAAAGUGGGGUAAAACCACAUACCUUGUUAAUCAAAUCAAAAGGCAGAAAGGCAAGGUGGAACGAGUUCACGAGGUACCUAUUCUUCCUACCACUCCAAGUCAAACAGAUCACAUCCGGCUAACUCAUACCAUCAAACUUGAUCCCUACCGAGCUCAGUUUCUUCCUAUCUCGGUGAAAGAAAACCCAGGAGAAACUUUGUUAGUCCAGCCUCAGCCAUGUUUGACGCCUAAUCAUCACCCCUUGAUUGUGACAGUAGAUGAGAAUAAAAAGGUCCCCCUCCCAUUUAUUAAUGAUACUAAGGGCCGGAAAACAAUCAAACCAGGAACCCUAUUAGGCACUUUUGAAAACAUCUCCUCCCCGACGAUCAAAGUCAUCCACCAAAAGCAAGCCACUCCUUCCCUAGAAAUCCACAAUGAUCUGUUGCCACACAACGACCAAACAAGGUGUCAGGAAUCAAAGAGUAGGCCACAAAGACUCGAGGAGUUGAUAAGACAACAGAAAUGGAGUAACCUUACUAGAGAGCAGAGAACAAUCUUAAAAAAUAUCAUUCUCAAUCACCAUGAUUUAUUCAUAGUAGACAAAAACGAACUUAGAUUAAUGAAAGGGCCUCCUGCUAAAAUUAAUAUCUCUAAUCCAGAGCCUAGUCGUGGUCCUAGGUACCGAUACCCCGAGGAAGCAAAAACCCUGAUAUCAAACAUGUUAACAGAUAUGGAGAACAGAGAUAUCAUUGAAAAAUCUACAUCUGCAUGGCUCUCUCCUAUAGUAUUAGUCAAUAAACCGGAUGGAAGUAAAAGAAUGUGCCUUGACUACCGACAUGUCAACAAACACCUAACUACUGAUAUUUACCCGCUUCCCCGCCUAGAAGAAUUAGUUGAACAAGCAGCUGGCCAUCAGUUCUGUGCCACGCUAGAUAUGAGGGAGGCUUAUUUUCAAAUUCUAUUGGAGGAAGGUAGCAGAGACCUCACAGCCUUCAGUGAUGGGGUGACUCUCUAUAGGUUUAAAAGGCUACCUUUUGGAUUAAGCUGUUCUCCAGCUAUCUUUACUAGACAUAUGGCCUCAUUGUUAGCUCCUCUCGUGAAGAAGGGUUGGAUGAAAAAUUACUUAGACGACCUAAUCAUUUGGGCUUCAGACUUCACCACACUCAGCGAGAGACUCAGUGAAACUUUCGCUUUACUUAAAGAAAAUGGAGUCAAGCUUAACUUAUCUAAAUGCGAAAUGGCAAAGACUGAAGUUACGUUUCUUGGUCAUAAAAUUUCACAAGAAGGUAGUCAACCCGACCCAAAGAAUGUAGAGGCAGUAUUGGAAAUGAAACCACCCACUAAGGUCAAGGAAGUGAGACGAUUUUUAGGUAUGGCAGGAUUUUAUAGGAAACACAUCAGUAAUUUCGCUCAAAUAGCCACUCCACUUACCAACCUAACGAAAAAAGAUCAACCUUUCCUUUGGACAGACAAGUGUCAGGAGGCAUUCGAUACCUUAAAAAGAUCUCUUGCCCAGGCCCCUAUACUAGCGAGAGCGCAAAGUAACCAGCCGUUCAUGUUAACAACUGAUGCCAGUAAUACCCACGUAGGAGGCGUCUUAAGUCAAACUCAGGAGGAUGGGUCCGUCAGACCUUUGGGCUAUUUUUCAAAAAAAUUAAACUCCACUGAGAAUAGGUACUCAGCUACAGAUAAAGAAGCCUUGGCAGUACUUCUCUCUUGUAGACACUUCCAUCAUUAUUUGUGGGGAACUAGCUUCACUAUAUUCACAGAUCAUCAGCCCCUUACUAGUAUAUUUAAGAGAAAGACCAAAUCUGCCAGGAUGAACCGCUGGAUACUAGAGAUGAGAGAAUACCAAUACAACAUCCAAUAUGUGAAGGGAAAGUAUAACUACGUGGCCGAUCAGCUCUCUCGCCCAGUGAGGAUCAUUCAGCGAUGUCCUACUCCAAACUAUUUAGGCCUGACUUUAGAACAAAUCAAGAUUCAACAAAGGGAAGAAAUUAAGUGGAGAGACAUAUGUCGAUAGAGUAUCUGGAAGGAGGGUCUAUACCUACCAAAAAGUAUCAUAAGAGUAUAUUGCACCAGUUCACUAUAAUUGAUGAGUUGCUGUACUACGCUAAGGAAAACAUUGAUGGCAGCAUUCAUUAUUCAUUGGUAGUUCCUCAGGUUCUGAUUCCUAAAGCUUUAGAACAUGCACAUGAGCUUUCUGGCCACCUGGGUCAGAAAAAGACAAUUAAAAAGGCCGAAGAAUUGUUUUACUGGUGUAAUCUCAAGUUUGACGUAACCCAGUACGUAAAGAAUUGCCUUACCUGUCAAAGAUUUAAAACCUCUCCAGGGUUACAGCAGCCUUAUCAGGAAUUACCUUCAGUAGAGAAGCCCUUAGAUAGGAUAGGUAUAGACCUGACGGAUAUGAUUGCAGGCAGUGGUGGCUACCGAUAUGUGUUGACUAUCGUAGAUCACUUUAGCCGAUUUGUGAAGUUCUAUCCACUCAAAAACAAACUAUCAGAGGGAAUUGUAGAGGCACUGCAGCAGUACAUUACCGACUUCGGGACUCCUCACUCCAUCGUCCUGGACAACGGGGGCGAGUUCACCUCCCAGAUCUUCCAACAAUUCUGCCAGCAACACCUCAUCACCCUCUGUUACACCACUCCCUACCACCCGCAAGGGAACGCCAUCACCGAACGACUCCAUCGCACGCUCAAAUCCAUCUUGGCUUCCAUGUGCCGAGGUUACCCGCUACGGUGGCCUCGCCUACUCCCUGUGUGUCAGGCCACUAUGAAUGCCGCCGUCCAUACCAGUAUCGCCCAACAACCUUUCUUCGCGUUUUUCUCCCAGCAUGCGCCCUGAGUGGUGGGUGCCAGGCUACCCGCAGUUGAUGGUGACGAGCAAGACGUGGAUGUGGUCCGCCGGCUGAUCCGGGAAACACACGAGAAAAUGACUCGGAAAUACCGUAAUGCAGCCAACAGGAAACACAAGGAGCAGAAGAUUGACUGCUGAAGUGUGAAGUCCUGGUGCGCAAGAGCUAAUUCGAAAUAUAAACUUAAUACACAGUGAUGGCGAAGCAAACACCUCAUGAGUUCUUAAGUGAAUUCAUUGAACUUUAUCGGAGUUUUCUGUGUUUGUGGAAGAUAAAGUCCCACGAAUACUCUGAUAGGAACAAAAAGGACCUGGCCUAUGCAGAACUAGUGAAGAAAUACAAUGAGUUUGAUCCUUUAGCUGAAAGAAACACUGUUGUCAAAAAAAUAAAUUCACUACAGACUGUUUACAACAAAGAGAAGGCAAAAGUGACCACCUCGAUGAAAUCAGGCGCAGGGUCAGAGGAGGUAUACAAGCCUAGUUUAUGGUAUUAUGACCUGCUUCACUUCUUGUAUGAUCAAGACUCAGCAAGAUCUGCUAGGAGUACAAUGGAUGAUGAGGACAAACGAAAAGAAAAUGAGGAUGGUUUUGAAUCUCAAGAUGUACAACAACAGGAUGAUCCUGGCGAAACUCCUCAUCCUUCACCGGCUUUGUCAGAGUCAGAUUCUAAUGAACCAGGUACAUCACGAACCCCUACACCAAAACCAAUAGCACCUCGCCCAAAACGGAAACAGCAGCUGACUCUAACAGAUGAACUCAUACAGCUAACGGGGCAACAUUUAAAAUCUCUUCGUCCUGAUGACGAAUUCGAGGCCUAUGGAAAGUAUAUAGCUCAUAAGCUACGCUCCCUUAAAGGUAUGCAGGCUGUAUUUGCUCGAAAACUAAUUAAUGACGUUAUUUUUCAAGGGGAGAUUGAGGAACUUGAUAAGGACUUCAAAGUUACGAAAAUUCAAUGUCAAACAUCAUUAAUUAGAAAUGACUUCCAGGGACUAUGCCCUCAACAAAAUAGCCCUUAACCAUCAUCAGUCCUAUGAUCCUCAAGUAUACUACCCUCAACAACAGAACAGUCGACCAUCCAAUAACAUUCUGCAACUUAACACGAUGCCUCUAAACCCUCAAACAAUUGGUUGUGAUCAGAUGCGCACUCAAUAUACCAGCAAUCAACAACCAGAACCUCAACUGGCUGUUUCUAAAGAAACUACUCACUUACAGACUGAACCCAAGAAGACAGUGGAUAAUAAUGUAUCUACUUAUUUUUCAAAUUUUACGGUGUAGUAGAACUUAUUUAGUGUUUAAGAUGUUCUUUGUUUACCAUUUGAUGUUUUUUUUUCCUUGUAAAAAGGAAUGUGUCAAAUAACAAUAAAAUAUUAUGUUUCUGAACUUAUUUAGUGUUUAAGAUGUUCUUUGUUUACCAUUUGAUGUUUUUUUUCCUUGUAAAAAGGAAUGUGUCAAAUAACAAUAAAAUAUUAUGUUUCUGAACUUAUUUAGUGUUCAAGAUGUUCUUUGUUUACCAUUUGAUGUUUUUUUUUUCCUUGUAAAAAGGAAUGUGUCAAAUAACAAUAAAAUAUUAUGUUUCUGAAAAAUAAAUGCAUUAUAACUG
Molecule: RNA transcript, 11809 nt
Organism: Scylla paramamosain (green mud crab)
Lineage: Eukaryota; Metazoa; Arthropoda; Malacostraca; Decapoda; Portunidae
Exons: 5
Source: RefSeq, a predicted model, not a curated record